ACACUGUACGAGUUUGAUCCUGGCUCAGAACGAACGCUGGCGGCAGGCCUAACACAUGCAAGUCGAGCGAACCCUUCGGGGUUAGCGGCGGACGGGUUAGUAACGCGUGGGAAUAUACCCUUUGGUACGGAAUAGCCUCGGGAAACUGAGAGUAAUACCGUAUGUGCCCUUCGGGGGAAAGAUUUAUCGCCAAAGGAUUAGCCCGCGUUGGAUUAGGUAGUUGGUGGGGUAAUGGCCUACCAAGCCUACGAUCCAUAGCUGGUUUGAGAGGAUGAUCAGCAACACUGGGACUGAGACACGGCCCAGACUCCUACGGGAGGCAGCAGUGGGAAUCUUAGACAAUGGGCGCAAGCCUGAUCUAGCCAUGCCGCGUGGACGAUGAAGGCCUUAGGGUUGUAAAGUCCUUUCAGAUGGGAAGAUAAUGACGGUACCAUCAGAAGAAGCCCCGGCUAACUCCGUG
This 460-nucleotide ribosomal RNA is filed under the name uncultured bacterium. RNAcentral describes it as "bacterial SSU rRNA". It matches the Rfam family "Bacterial small subunit ribosomal RNA", at positions 1 to 507 of the family's 1533-position model. The record is from RNAcentral.